AGUGAGAUAACUGGGUCAAAUGGUGGUUCCAUUCCAAGUUUUCUGAGGAAUCUCCAUACUGCUUUCCAGAGGGAUUGUACCAAUUUGCAGUCCUACCAGUAAU
This 103-nucleotide microRNA precursor is filed under the name Marmota monax (woodchuck). Lineage: Eukaryota; Metazoa; Chordata; Mammalia; Rodentia; Sciuridae. The record is from RNAcentral.